UUACACGCCAUGAUGGUUACUCGUCCCUACGAUACACUGCAGCAUUUACAGGUUUGUGCCUGGUGUGUUGACCAGUCACUUACUUUAUCGUCAAAGAGCUGAUCAGACUCCACCGUCUCUAGAUGUUGAACUCUCUUGAUGGAGACUUCUGCUGCUGCAGGUGUAUUAUGAUCGGAUAUACCUAUUGUGGAUGAACUGGAUGUAACUGCGGAAGUGUGGGAUUUCCACGUUAUUCGGCCUUCAACAAAUCCUUGUGUUCCAAGCGCUCGUCCAAAUACCAUGUUUGCAGUUCCUGAACUUUACGCAGUAGAUAGUUACACAUGUGCUGUAGAUGAUGAAAACCUGCUACUUUGCAAAAAUAAUGCAUUAUUUCGCAGUGGAAUACCCUGUGACGAAGACGUGUAUAAUACAUGUAUAUAUCUGAUGUCCGAAAAUGACUUCUUUUUUCCAAAUGACGCGUAUCAGGCUGCUGAUCUGUAUUCCAAAUUGAGACACUGUGUAUAUAAUCUCCUAACGUAGGCCCUAAAAUAUAGAACUGUCUUGUCGGAAUGCGUGAGAUUUAUUUACAUUAUCUAAAGAGAACUUUCUUCUUAAAGACAACACAACUUUGAUUUCUGAAAGUAAAAAGAAAGCUGAUGAAGGUAGUUACGUUUUUUUAUAGUACAUACGUUUUUUAUAGUACAUUUCACAAACGUUCCUUGAACAAUUAAAUUGCGACAUUGUUUACUGUGGUUGACGAUGUAUUGUAUUUUUGCACAUAAAACAAUUCUAUCCAAUGCUUCCUUCCCCAUGCCAUGCCUUGAUACAUUGGAGGAGAAUGUUAUGGUAGCUUGACUACAGUACUUGUAGCAAUUAUAUAUUAUGCACGUGCGAAAAUAUCGCAAUACAUAAAACGACCGUCAUAUUUCAAGGGACAAAUCUUUUAUUGUAUCCAUUCGUUUGAGUAAGAUAAAUAAGGUGUUUAACCUGGUUAGAUGGUUGAAGUAAGUUUAAUGUUAGUAACA
This 1004-nucleotide unclassified non-coding RNA is filed under the name Mizuhopecten yessoensis (Yesso scallop). RNAcentral's name for it is "uncharacterized LOC110466839, transcript variant X10". Lineage: Eukaryota; Metazoa; Mollusca; Bivalvia; Pectinida; Pectinidae. The record is from RNAcentral.